GGGCCCGCACAAGCGGUGGAGUAUGUGGUUUAAUUCGAUGCAACGCGAAGAACCUUACCUGGGCUCUAAUGCGAGUGACCGCUCCUGAAAGGGAGCUUUCCUUCGGGACACGAAGCAAGGUGCUGCAUGGUUGUCGUCAGCUCGUGCCGUGAGGUGUUGGGUUAAGUCCCGCAACGAGCGCAACCCCUAUCUUUAGUUGCCAGCGAUUCGGUCGGGGACUCUAGAGAGACUGCCUGCGCAAGCAGAGAGGAAGGCGGGGACGACGUCAAAUCAUCAUGGCCUUUAUGCCCAGGGCUACACACGUGCUACAAUGGUAAGGACAAAGGGCAGCGAGCCGGCGACGGUCAGCGAAUCCCAAAAACCUUAUCUCAGUUCGGAUUGGAGUCUGCAACUCGACUCCAUGAAGCUGGAAUCGCUAGUAAUCGUAGGUC
Molecule: ribosomal RNA, 431 nt
Filed under: uncultured bacterium
Lineage: Bacteria
Description: bacterial SSU rRNA
Rfam family: Bacterial small subunit ribosomal RNA
Source: RNAcentral